Molecule: unclassified non-coding RNA, 380 nt
Filed under: uncultured bacterium
Lineage: Bacteria
Description: contains 16S-23S intergenic spacer region
Source: RNAcentral
UCUCGGCUUAUCACCGGCAGUCCCCCUAGAGUGCCCAACUGAAUGAUGGCAACUAAGGGCGAGGGUUGCGCUCGUUGCGGGACUUAACCCAACAUCUCACGACACGAGCUGAUGACAGCCAUGCAGCACCUCGACUCCAGUCUCUUGCGAGAAGUCCCUGUUUCCAAGGAUUGUCCGAAGCCGUUCGAGCCCAGGUAAGGUUCUUCGCGUUGCGUCGAAUUAAACCACAUGCUCCACCGCUUGUGCGGGCCCCCGUCAAUUCCUUUGAGUUUUAGCCUUGCGGCCGUACUCCCCAGGCGGAGUGCUUACUGCGUUAGCUUCGGCACCACAGGGGUCAAAGCCCGUGACACCUAGCACUCAUCGUUUACGGCGUGGACUAC